This 253-nucleotide ribosomal RNA is filed under the name uncultured bacterium. Its description in RNAcentral is "partial 16S ribosomal RNA". It matches the Rfam family "Bacterial small subunit ribosomal RNA", at positions 524 to 776 of the family's 1533-position model. The record is from RNAcentral.
UACAGAGGGUGCGAGCGUUAAUCGGAAUUACUGGGCGUAAAGCGUGCGUAGACGGUUAUUUAAGUCGGGUGUGAAAGCCCCGGGCUCAACCUGGGAAUUGCAUUCGAGACUGAAUAGCUAGGGUACGGUAGAGGGAAGUGGAAUUUCCGGUGUAGCGGUGAAACGCGUAGAUAUCGGAAGGAACAUCAGUGGCGAAAGCGACUUCCUGGACCAGUACCGACGUUCAGGCACGAAAGCGUGGGGAGCGAACGGG